GCCGAACGCUGGCGGCGUGCCUAAUACAUGCAAGUCGAACGCAGUGGGGCCGGGUGAGUAACACGUGGGUAACCUCCCAUCAGAGGGGAUAACACUUGGAAACAGGUGCUAAACCGAUCCUGAUGGAUGGACCCGCGGUGCAUUAGCUAGUUGGUGAGGUCAGGGCGCACCAAGGCAACGAUGCAUAGCCGACCUGAGAGGGGGAUCGGCCAUACUGGGACUGAGACACGGCCCAGACGCCAACGGGAGGCAGCAGUAGGGAAUCUUAGGCAAUGGACGAAAGUCUGACCGAGCAACGCCGCGUGAGUGAAGAAGGUUUUCGGAUCGUAAAACUCUGUUGUUAGAGAAGCGGUAUCUAACCAGAAAGCAACGGCUAACUACGUGCCAGCAGCCGCGGUAAUAC
RNAcentral lists this ribosomal RNA (403 nucleotides) under uncultured bacterium. RNAcentral's name for it is "partial 16S ribosomal RNA". It matches the Rfam family "Bacterial small subunit ribosomal RNA", at positions 28 to 526 of the family's 1533-position model. The record is from RNAcentral.